CGGGCUAGAUAGCCUGGGCGACAAGCCUCUGAGUGCUGUGUCUCUGGUGUAAAGCUCUCAGUUCCUGCAGAAGAGCGUGUUCCUGUGGGUCUGGUUUCUGAGGGUCAAGGCGGAGGUCAUUAGAGUUUUGGGGAGAAGAAAGUUGACAACAUCCUUCCUUUCUGCAGAUGGUCAUGGCAGAGGUCUCUGUUUUCGCUGGGCCCCUUUUUCUGGUCAUUGAGAGAAUAGGCUUCCUCGCCCCUGUAUCCUUUCUUACUAAUAGGAAUUGGCGUGAUUCCUCACAGACACAAAGAUUUCCUCUGCUGAGUAAGCGUGAGGCCCCUUAACUUGUGAAAGCAUCAUCCAGACCGUGUGAGUCUGUCUGUGUAUGUGCAGAACACAGACCCUCCUUUCUCCGUUUGUGGGGAAUACUUCCCUCGGGUGAAACUGAAGUUAAUUUUUUUUUUUUCAAACACAAGCAGAGUCUCCUUGGAGGUGACAUGGAUAUGGGCAACCCAGGAACCCUUUCGCCCACCAAACCUGGUUCCCAGUACUAUCAGUAUUCUAGCAAUAAUCCCCGAAGGAGGCCUCUUCACAGUAGUGCCAUGGAGGUACAGACAAAGAAAGUUCGAAAAGUUCCUCCAGGUUUGCCAUCUUCAGUCUAUGCUCCAUCAGCAAGCACUGCCGACUACAAUAGGGACUCGCCAGGCUAUCCUUCCUCCAAACCAGCAACCAGCACUUUCCCUAGCUCCUUCUUCAUGCAAGAUGGCCAUCACAGCAGUGACCCUUGGAGCUCCUCCAGUGGGAUGAAUCAGCCUGGCUAUGCAGGAAUGUUGGGCAACUCUUCUCAUAUUCCACAGUCCAGCAGCUACUGUAGCCUGCAUCCACAUGAACGUUUGAGCUAUCCAUCACACUCCUCAGCAGACAUCAAUUCCAGUCUUCCUCCGAUGUCCACUUUCCAUCGUAGUGGUACAAACCAUUACAGCACCUCUUCCUGUACGCCUCCUGCCAACGGGACAGACAGUAUAAUGGCAAAUAGAGGAAGCGGGGCAGCCGGCAGCUCCCAGACUGGAGAUGCUCUGGGGAAAGCACUUGCUUCGAUCUAUUCUCCAGAUCACACUAACAACAGCUUUUCAUCAAACCCUUCAACUCCUGUUGGCUCUCCUCCAUCUCUCUCAGCAGGCACAGCUGUUUGGUCUAGAAAUGGAGGACAGGCCUCAUCGUCUCCUAAUUAUGAAGGACCCUUACACUCUUUGCAAAGCCGAAUUGAAGAUCGUUUAGAAAGACUGGAUGAUGCUAUUCAUGUUCUCCGGAACCAUGCAGUGGGCCCAUCCACAGCUAUGCCUGGUGGUCAUGGGGACAUGCAUGGAAUCAUUGGACCUUCUCAUAAUGGAGCCAUGGGUGGUCUGGGCUCAGGGUAUGGAACCGGCCUUCUUUCAGCCAACAGACAUUCACUCAUGGUGGGGACCCAUCGUGAAGACGGCGUGGCCCUGAGAGGCAGCCAUUCUCUUCUGCCAAACCAGGUUCCGGUUCCACAGCUUCCUGUCCAGUCUGCGACUUCCCCUGACCUGAACCCACCCCAGGACCCUUACAGAGGCAUGCCACCAGGACUACAGGGGCAGAGUGUCUCCUCUGGCAGCUCUGAGAUCAAAUCCGAUGACGAGGGUGAUGAGAACCUGCAAGACACGAAAUCUUCGGAGGACAAGAAAUUAGAUGACGACAAGAAGGAUAUCAAAUCAAUUACUAGGUCAAGAUCUAGGUAACAGUAUAUAAUACUGUCGCUUCAUUUAAUUCCUUUAUUGGACUUUGAUGAAGUGAACAGAACGGGAAGAAACUAUUCAGUUUUUUCCUGGCAGGUAAAUUUACAGCUGAAAAGAAAAUUAAAGGCCUACUCUAGAAGUACUAAAAGUAUCAUUUCAGAUACCUGUACUCUAUUGGAGCCUAAACUGUUUUGGCAUUUAUGAAUCUGGACCCAAUGCUAAUGACACAGUGAAAAAAUUUGUCUCUGAUUCAAGUACAGUUUAUUUGUAAAACUAUACUUAUUCUACAAAUUUGGUCAGAAAUGUUGUGUCUAUAAUAUUUCUAAAAAGAGAUUGUAGCCGUGUUAAAAACUCAACUGAUGUAUGUGCCAACUAUAACUCUUUUCUUACCUCUAAAGUAAGAAAAUAAUUUCCUAGAUUUAUCCUAAACAUGCUGAUGUAUAUAAGAGUAAUACCUUAAUUGUGUAUGGUUUUUCUUCCUGGACACUCUUUUCUACAGAAAACACAACUGCAGGAAAAUAGCUUCUGUCUGGUUUUCUUAAAUAUCUGCUAUCUUUAAAUUCAAAUCUAUAUCUCCUUGAACUUUAAUCUGGUAAUCAGAUGGUUUUUGAAUACCAACACCCGUGUACUUUGCCUCAAUUCCCUGAGGUUGUUUUUAUUCACAAAUUCAACCAAUUGUCCUAAGACUACAGCUUUCCUUCUAAAGGCUGUGGUUCUCAAGGUUCUAUCUGGAAUCUUUUGUGAAUUAAGAACAUGCUGCCUCUUCAUGUUGCUGUUGUAAUUAUUGAGAUAAAUUCGGUGUCUUGCCACAAGUUUAAAAAUGCUGAAUACUUCUAGAUAACCCCUUUCCUUCCAUGUUGUCGUUUUCUGAUUCUUGGCCACUUUGGCAAGAAAUCCCAAGGAGGGGAUUUCAUACCUUUAGCAGCUUCUGUGUUAGACCAGUCAGUUCUUGGUGAUUUAACUUAUUGUGGCCAAACUUAUGCAUGUUAAUGGAUUCUUUGAAGUUUUGGAACAACAUUUUCAUUCACUGUUGAGAACCUUCUUAUUUAAAAAGGUCACUCUUAUGACAUUUACUUAUGUAUGCCUCCAAAACUGUAGUAUAAGGCAGUGCUUUUCAAAUCUAGGCAGUUUUAUUUGCAUAACCAGUUUAUUUAUAAGUGAAUAACCAAUUCUAAUUGGUCGUUAGCCUGAAAACCUUUGGAAGAAAAGUUCCUAUUUUCCAGUCUCCUUUGUGUAAGGUGUAGCAUUUGUUGGAUGUAUAAAAAUAUCACCCAAAUGCUUAGCUUCCGGACAGGCCUGGCAGAGAGUGUUUUCAUUUGCUUUUUACAGCCUAUUUGCAUAGUAGAAUAUAGGAGUGAAUUAAUCAUUACUGAUUUCCUUGGCACUGGCAGCAGUUGGGGGUGAGGGCAGAGGAGGGAUCCGCAGAAGGCAGAGAAAGAGGGCCUUUUCCAGUGGACUCAGUUGACUUCCAUGUUUACCAUACACACCUGUGGCAGACAGUGCCAUCUGGAAAGGCGCUUACGCUAUGGAGAGAGAGGAGCCUGGUCUUACAGCAUCCUUUUGUGGUGUCAUCCUCCUUGCCCCUAACUUUUCUCCUUCACCCAAGUGUUCUUAUGUGCAUUAUCUUUAUGUGUAACGUAUACUUGCAACCCAAGAAUACCACUCCCACUUUUGAUUGAUUGGAGCUUCUCAAGUGUAAUUGGUCCUUAUUGCCACUUGGAAGUUACCCAGAGAUUCUCCAAAAUGGAACAUCAGAGUCAUAUAUUUUAAACCAGCAUUCAUUAAAUAUACAUUUAAUUGACUAGAUAAUUUCCCACAUCUUCCAACUCCGAAAUGUUGUGAUUAAUCAUCUUUAUUCUGUGAACAUUUCCAAUGUGUGAAAUUACCCUUUAGGUUAAUUGUUAGUCACUUCCAUGGAGUUUCUUGUGAUGGGGAGUCUACUGGUGUUCAGUGAAGUUUGUUUCAUUUUCUGUGUCUCUCAUAAGCCCCCCAAAAGUCCUCACUCAUGUUUAUUCACAAUAGUCAUUCAGAGCUUUAUAGCACGUGCUGCUCUGCCUUCUUGAGACAAGACAUCGUGCACACUUCUCUUUUUUACAUGACAGCCCUUGGAAUAUUUGAACCCUGCUGCUGUGACGACUUCCUCAUAUGAUAUGCUUUCCAGGUGGCUCAUCAUCCUCUUUGCCUUCCAUUCAAAAGUUUCUAAUUUGUCACUGUAACACCCAGAAAUGGACAGAACAGAUCUUAUCUUUUCAGACUAUUCUGGGCCCGGCCAUGCGUUUGUUAUGAAUCAUGGAAUAUUUUGGUUUUCACAAUUAGAAAUUACCUUUUGGCUUUUUUUUUUUUUUUGUAAGAGACAGAGUCUGGCUGUGUUGCCCAGGCUGGAGUGCAGCGGCCUGAUCACAUCUCACUGUAGCCUCCACCUCCUAGAUUCAAGUGAGCCUCCCACCUCAGCCUCCUGAGUAGCUGAGACCGCAGGUGUGCAUCACUGUGCCCAGCUAAUUUUUUUUAUUUUUUGUAGAGACGAGGUCUCACUAUAUUGUCCAGGCUGGGGUUAUAGGCAUGAGCCACUGCACCCAGCUUUCUGGCUUCAUUUUUGACUCACAAUGAGGUCAUGGUCAUUCAUAAGCUGCAGGUGUUUGGUUUGUUGAAUCGUUUUGCAUGACUGAUACCAGUUCAGGUUUCCCAGACUUGUUCUGUGGAUCAUAAACAUCUAUAAGAUUAAAGACCAUGGAAGUCAUGUUUUUGUAACUUUUUGUUUAAUACAUAGAGAAAAUGAGACUCACAUAGUGGGUUGACCAGGCCUUCAAAGCAAGGUAAUCGGGACACCUGAAUAAAAGCCUCACUGUCUUCACUCCCAUUGCUCUGGUGUCUUACAUAUAGACCUUUCUUCUUACUCCUAUUAAGCUGCCUUGUAUUUUUUUGACCUAUCAAAAUCAUUUUUCAAUUACUUGUUUCCCCUAGAUUUCAGAUGUCACGGUAUGAAAGGUUUUAUAUAUAUUUAAAAAAUGAAGUAUAAACAUAAAGUCUUUUUGAAGUAUGGUUAUGCAACAUAUGCUAGGCGUAAGUUGGUGCAUGCCUGCUUUGCAGAGUGUAACCCCAUUGAAUAAAAAAAGCUUUGUUUUCCCUUUCUGCCCCCCUAUAUCAGUAUGGGCACACCCUGCACUCUAACUUUAAUCUACGUCACCCUCACCUGUUUGGUUUGGGUUUAAUGUCUGCGAGAAAACCAAAUAUCUUGUGUAUCGUGAACUGUCAAAGCCAUCUAAACCAAUCCCAAGGUCAAGUGGAUAUAAAAAUUCUGCCAAAAACAUGGCAUAAGAUGGAAAAUUUCCCUGAAAACUCUGGAAGAAAACAAAGUAAUGUAGACACCUUCUUUUUCCCCACACCAUUAGAAAAUGUUGCAUCCCUUUUGUCCCACAGCAAUAAUGACGAUGAGGACCUGACACCAGAGCAGAAGGCAGAGCGUGAGAAGGAGCGGAGGAUGGCCAACAAUGCCCGAGAGCGUCUGCGGGUCCGUGACAUCAACGAGGCUUUCAAAGAGCUCGGCCGCAUGGUGCAGCUCCACCUCAAGAGUGACAAGCCCCAGACCAAGCUCCUGAUCCUCCACCAGGCGGUGGCCGUCAUCCUCAGUCUGGAGCAGCAAGUCCGAGAAAGGAAUCUGAAUCCGAAAGCUGCGUGUCUGAAAAGAAGGGAGGAAGAGAAGGUGUCCUCGGAGCCUCCCCCUCUCUCCUUGGCCGGCCCACACCCUGGAAUGGGAGACGCAUCGAAUCACAUGGGACAGAUGUAAAAGGGUCCAAGUUGCCACAUUGCUUCAUUAAAACAAGAGACCACUUCCUUAACAGCUGUAUUAUCUUAAACCCACAUAAACACUUCUCCUUAACCCCCAUUUUUGUAAUAUAAGACAAGUCUGAGUAGUUAUGAAUCGCAGACGCAAGAGGUUUCAGCAUUCCCAAUUAUCAAAAAACAGAAAAACAAAAAAAAA
This 5718-nucleotide small RNA is filed under the name Pan troglodytes (chimpanzee). Its description in RNAcentral is "retained intron". Lineage: Eukaryota; Metazoa; Chordata; Mammalia; Primates; Hominidae. The record is from RNAcentral.